UUAACUGAAUCCAUAGGUUAAUGAGGCGAACCGGGGGAACUGAAACAUCUAAGUACCCCGAGGAAAAGAAAUCAACCGAGAUUCCCCCAGUAGCGGCGAGCGAACGGGGAGCAGCCCAGAGCCUGAAUCAGUGUGUGUGUUAGUGGAAGCGUCUGGAAAGGCGCGCGAUACAGGGUGACAGCCCCGUACACAAAAAUGCACAUAUUGUGAGCUCGAUGAGUAGGGCGGGACAC
RNAcentral lists this ribosomal RNA (233 nucleotides) under Escherichia coli. RNAcentral's name for it is "partial 23S ribosomal RNA". It matches the Rfam family "Bacterial large subunit ribosomal RNA", at positions 154 to 425 of the family's 2925-position model. The record is from RNAcentral. Lineage: Bacteria; Pseudomonadati; Pseudomonadota; Gammaproteobacteria; Enterobacterales; Enterobacteriaceae.